CCCACCCCCUUUUACUUCGUAGGCGUUAGAGAGUAGAGGAUAAUUUUUUUACCCCAAUCUCGUCACUCUCAUAUGCUCCCAUACCUAACACCACCUCGAUAUCGCCAUCGUCGGUCACUGCUUCCAUCUCCGACAUCACAACACCACCGCUGCUACACUACACCACUAUGGCACGAUACACUUGAAAUUUAGACUCCGAACAACGAUCUCCAUCUGUUCUCCACUCGACUUCAAUGAGGUAUGGAGAUCUUAGCAUAUCCUUGCAAUAAGUUCCUGAAACAAGAGCCGGAUUCGAGCGAGAAAAUGGAAGAAUUGUCAUGCACAAGGUUUAAUGCCACAUAUCCCAUCUUCCAGAAGAUUUGUGUUAAUGGACCAAAAUCAUCACCUUAGUACAUGUUUCCUAAAGCAAAGAAAAUGGGAGUUUGUUGGGCCAAGCAUCAAAUGGAACUUCACCAAGUUUCUAGUGGAUAAAUAAGGUAGAGUCAUAGGUCGUUAUGGGCCGACUACUUCACCAUUAUUCAUUCAGGGAACAAUUUUCCAUGCAUAUUUCUUCUAUAUUAUGCAUCACAUUGAGUGAGUUUAUUAUUAAACUUAACUUGUUUGUUACUGUUGUUGGGAGAUAUUCAUAAAACAAUGUAUGCAGAGUGAAAUGCAACUGAAUGAAUGGGGUUUGCCUUUAUAAAAUCUAUCCAAAAGUGUGAAGGGUGAAACUCUAAACUCUCCAUAAGUUCAUAGUAAUAACUAACAUGUAUGAUUGUUUUUUUUUACUUUCAUUCUCAUAGUUUUUGCUUUAAUGGUGAAUAUGUUAUGUUGAAGUUUAAUCUUAUUGUUGCAUAUUCAGUGGACUAACAAAACACCAUGAAUUUCUCAGCCACAUAGUAUCUCAACUCAAAGAGGAUGGAUGUAGAUGAUCUUAUACAUCAGUUUAGCAUGUGGGGAGAUUUCAAAGGCAACAUAUAUUAGGAUGCAUAUGUUGCCGUGAUUAUAGAGAUGGAUGCAAAGCUAUACAACCAUGUAAUCAUUUAAAAUGUUCCUCUUUUUUGUUAUCCUCAUGAUUUUUUAUUGAUUUCUGAAGAAAAGAAAAAAUGUAUAAUGUUGUGUUUUUAGUCAGAGGAUGGUUGACAUAUAAACCUUCUAAUCAUUUCGAUCAAGAAGCAAGUAAACCAGGUGAUAUGGUACAAUAUGUUGCAUCAUCUUUGUUGACUAAUGACUAGCAUUGUUGUUGACCGAUAUUAGUCGUCAUGUUAUUCUACUUUUAGUCACCAUAUUAUAUUUUUAGUUACAAUUAAUAACUAAAGUUUAAUUUACAGGUUCAAAGACGCCUUGCACAAAAUAGUGAACCAACCUGUAAAAGCCAUUUAGGGAAAGUGGUAGGGGAUAUGAAAGAGAAAUCACUUUCGUUUUCAAUUUAGAAUUCUCAAAACUGCCUUUUGUUUUAUGUUAUGAGGUUUAAACUUUGAUCUAUUUAUACAAAAAUUAAUAUGCAUAAAAUUAUCAUUUUUAGCAUGCUUUCAUUUAAAGAACUUAUUAUGAACCUUGCAUUUUGUUAUUAGCCAUGUGUUCAUUUGAAGCUAGUCGUUUAAAAAUGCUUCAUCUUGAACAAGAACUUGAACAAACUAAGACAUAGGUAAGUCAACAUUGUCUUUUCAUCUGUGCCUUAUUUUAAGAUACUUAUCUUUCCAUAUCUUCUUUUUGUCAGUUAUGUUUAGUUAUCAAACUCAUACCUAUUUUCUUAGAUAUCAUCAACAAUUUCUAGGUUGGAAUGGUGCAAAUACCAGGAAGGACUCAUGUGGACGAUUGUGGAAGCUGCAAACAAGGUAGUCAUUUCCUCAGCCUUUUAGCAAUCGUUAUCUGUUUGUUGUUGAUAUAUUUUACUUAUAUGGCUUUGAAAAUGUUUCUCGCACUUUAAGAAUCUUAGGAAUCUCAUACAUGACACAACUCAUAUCAUUAAUCUAACAUUACAUAGCAUCCCACUUAUAUUUAAUCUUUCAAUCUAAAAAUACAUCACCACUAGUAACUUACAGUUCAUGUGUAUCUAUUCUUUGGUUGUAGGAAGUAACUGAAAGUAUUAUUAAUCAAACAAGGUUGUAUUUGUUCCAGGUGAAUACUUUGGUUAUGACACCUUUUAAGUCUCGAUCAACUUGGAUAUAUAAAUCCUUCCAUUUCACAUUUGUGAAUGUACUAUUUUGUCCUCAUAUUUUAUACAUAUUUAUUUUGUUUUCCUUAUUUUAACAUUUCAAAUUCUUUAUAAAGGGGAGAAAACUCAGUAAAGACACAAUAUUGAUACAAUUAGGAAGCAUGUCAAAGUUUGCAAGAUUACAUGAAGUUUGGGGAAGAAGUUCAAAUGCAAUGAAGUGUAAAGUUUUUUUUUGUUACUUUUGUUUAGUUAAUUUUUUAUAUGUAGUGUCUAUUUGGUUCAACAUUUAACAUAUUUGGCAUUGAUGUAAAAUAGUGAAAUUUUUAUUAUUUUUUAUGGAUUAUAGUUUAAUUAGCUUUUUAAUUUUA
This is a long non-coding RNA of Lactuca sativa (garden lettuce), 2505 nucleotides long. RefSeq lists it as uncharacterized. The record is from RefSeq and is a predicted model, not a curated record. Lineage: Eukaryota; Viridiplantae; Streptophyta; Magnoliopsida; Asterales; Asteraceae.